UGUAAGCGUAUACCAAAGUUGUUGCAGUUAAAACGCUCGUAGUCGGAAUUUGGCAGUUCCGGAUGUGUGCACGUCGUGUGUGCACUUCGCGGGGAUUGCUUUUGUGGUCUUGCGUAGGAUGAGGCACUUUUAUUAGUGAACGUCCUCACGCAACCACUUUUUACUGUGAGAGAAUCAGAGUGCUCAAAGCAGGCAUUUGCCGUGAAUGUAUUAGCAUGGAAUAAUAGAAUAGGACUUGGUUCUAUUUUGUUGGUUUGUUGGGACUGAGUAAUGAUUAAGAGGGACAGUUGGGGGCAUUUGUAUUUCGGUGCUAGAGGUGAAAUUCUUAGAUUACCGAAAGACAAACUGCUGCGAAAGCGUCUGCCAAGGAUGUUUUCAUUGA
Molecule: ribosomal RNA, 382 nt
Filed under: uncultured eukaryote
Lineage: Eukaryota
Description: partial 18S ribosomal RNA
Rfam family: Eukaryotic small subunit ribosomal RNA
Source: RNAcentral